This 253-nucleotide ribosomal RNA is filed under the name uncultured bacterium. RNAcentral describes it as "partial 16S ribosomal RNA". It matches the Rfam family "Bacterial small subunit ribosomal RNA", at positions 524 to 776 of the family's 1533-position model. The record is from RNAcentral.
UACGAGGGGGGCAAGCGUUGUUCGGAAUUAUUGGGCGUAAAGGGUGCGUAGGCGGUUUGGUAAGUCUUAUGUGAAAUCUACAGGCUCAACUUGUAGUCUGCAUGAGAAACUGCCGGGCUUGAGUAUGGCAGAGGGGGGUAGAAUUCCACGUGUAGCAGUGAAAUGCGUAGAGAUGUGGAGGAACACCGAUGGCGAAGGCAGCCCCCUGGGCUAACACUGACGCUCAUGCACGAAAGCGUGGGGAGCAAACAGG